GAUGAAGAACGUAGCGAAAUGCGAUAAGUAAUGUGAAUUGCAGAAUUCCGUGAAUCAUCGAAUCUUUGAACGCACAUUGUGCCCUCUGGUAUUCCGGGGGGCAUGCCUGUCCGAGCGUCAUUUGCAACCCUCAAGCCCGGCUUGUGUGAUGGGUGCCGUCCCCUACGGGACGCGCCCCGAAGGCAAUGGCGGCGUCGCGGUUAUCCGAUCAGCCAAAGUGUAUGGGGCUUUGUCACUCACUUUACGGCCCGGACCGGCGCCAGUCCGAAUCAAUCUUUUUUCUAAAGUUGACCUCGGAUCAGGUAGGGAUACCCGCUGAACUUAAGCAUAUCAAUAAGCGGAGGA
This 345-nucleotide unclassified non-coding RNA is filed under the name soil metagenome. Its description in RNAcentral is "partial contains 5.8S ribosomal RNA, internal transcribed spacer 2, and large subunit ribosomal RNA". The stretch from base 1 to 120 matches the Rfam family "5.8S ribosomal RNA", at positions 35 to 154 of the family's 154-position model. The record is from RNAcentral.